Molecule: long non-coding RNA, 1212 nt
Filed under: Homo sapiens (human)
Lineage: Eukaryota; Metazoa; Chordata; Mammalia; Primates; Hominidae
Description: HSALNT0372776
Source: RNAcentral
GUCUCUCUAUAUUGCCCAGGCUGGUCUCAAACUCCUGGCCUCAAGUGAUCCUCCUACCUCGGCUUCAUAAAGAAAUGGGAUUAUAGGGUGAGACCCUGUGCCUGGCCAUUAUGUAUUCUUAUGUGAAAUAAGUACUUCGUAAGAUAAUACAUAUAUCAUCAUGUAAUAAUAAUAACCAAUAUUUAUUGAGUACUUUCAGUGUACCUGAACUGUUCUAAGCACUUUAUAUAUAUUUCUGUCUUUAUCUAUCUACUAACUCAAUCUUCCUAACAACCUUUGAGGUACAAACUAUUAUCAUCCUCAUUUUACAGAUGAGAAAACUGAGAUCCAGAAAUUCAAGAUCAAUAACCAAUAAUUGAAAAGGAAGUAAGACAGCCUGCCUUUGGAAUAUUGUGCCACUUUACCAAUAAUUUACUCUAAUUAAAAUGAAACAAAAAUGUGUGCAUGUUAUUGGAUGUAUGGAAAGAUGCAUCAAACUAAAUGACCUCAAGGGAGAGGUGUGGCUUCCGUGAGGAAGAUGACAAGACUCCUUCUUGGUUCAACUCUACCAACUGUCUAUAGCAUUUCACAGUGUUGUGGAUGAUUAUGCUGUCUAGGGAACUGAGUAGUUACUGCACUUUCAAAAACAUCAUCUCACAGUCCUGAGGUCCUGCAAAGUUUGUGUCUUUCCAUUCUUACAUAUAACUUACUUAACAGUUACUGCUAUCAAGAAAGUCUUGCCUUCUCACACUUCUUCCAUUAUUUUUAUGCCCUAUUUCAGUGAUCUAUCCACACAUCCAUCUUCAAGCUUCCCAAAGGCAGGAAUCACCUAUUGUUCGUCUGUAAACUCCAAUGAGAAACAUACAGUCUGGUGUAUGGGAGGUCAUCAAAACAAGUGUGGAGGUAUAAGCUAAGACUGACAACUGCCUCCCAAGUUUCUAUUCAAAAGUAAUCAUUUUGGAUGUAAAUCUCAUCAGGAAUGUGUUUAAACUCAGGAACUGCUGAAUUGUACUGUAACUUGGCUCAUCCCAAAUAGUGCAGUUGUCUUCACAAUGGAGAGACUGUCACAGCCUAAAAAGACACGUGACUCUGAGCAUCAGUUUACUGGCUGCCCACUCAAUGAUUCAGACUCCUCCAUUCUUUGUGUGGAAGAGAACUGGCCUUCCGGGAGCCUGAGGCCAAGUGAGAGAACCUUCUGAAAGCCGUCACUGCAUGGGGAGCCUGGACUUACCC